This 330-nucleotide ribosomal RNA is filed under the name uncultured bacterium. RNAcentral describes it as "bacterial SSU rRNA". It matches the Rfam family "Bacterial small subunit ribosomal RNA", at positions 568 to 898 of the family's 1533-position model. The record is from RNAcentral.
UGUGUAGGCGGUGUUCUAAGUCUGUUGUGAAAUCUCCCGGCUCAACUGGGAGGGUGCGGCGGAGACUGGAAUGCUAGAGUAUGGGAGAGGUAAGCGGAAUUCCUGGUGUAGCGGUGAAAUGCGUAGAUAUCAGGAGGAACACCUGUGGUGUAGACAGCUUACUGGACCAUGACUGACGCUGAGACACGAAAGCGUGGGUAGCAAACAGGAUUAGAUACCCUGGUAGUCCACGCCCUAAACGAUGCAUAAUUGGUGUGAGCCAUUCAUUUGGUUCGUGCCGGAGCUAACGCGUUAAGUAUGCCGCCUGGGGAGUACGGUCGCAAGGCUGAA